UACGAAGGGUGCAAACGUUGCUCGGAAUUAUUGGGCGUAAAGCGCACGUAGGCGGCUUAGCAAGUUGGAUGUGAAAUCCCUCGGCUCAACCAAGGAAGUGCAUCCAAAACUGCUAAGCUUGAGUACUUAAGAGGAUCGCGGAAUUCCCGGUGUAGAGGUGAAAUUCGUAGAUAUCGGGAGGAACACCAGUGGCGAAGGCGGCGAUCUGGGAAGAUACUGACGCUGAGGUGCGAAAGCGUGGGGAGCAAACAGG
RNAcentral lists this ribosomal RNA (253 nucleotides) under uncultured bacterium. RNAcentral describes it as "partial 16S ribosomal RNA". It matches the Rfam family "Bacterial small subunit ribosomal RNA", at positions 524 to 776 of the family's 1533-position model. The record is from RNAcentral.